ACGGUGCUGAAGAACUGGCGCCCUGUGGCAUUGCUGUGCACAGACUGCAAGCUGCUCUCAAAAGCGUUAGCCUCCAGACUGGGGAAGGUGAUGGAGCAGGUGGUGCAUCGUGACCAGACGUACUGUGUGCCUGGGUGCAUGUCGGCAGCAAGACUAGCCAUUUUACUUACAGCAGUGGACUAAACCAAAAUUACAUUCAGGUUGACCUGUGUACCCCCCGUUUCUCUGUCCCUUCCAGGCCUGCAGACCUACAAGAGGACUGGAUGACCCUCGCUGUCACUCUCUCCAGGAAACAGACACUUAGACAUCGCUGGACUGCACGAGUGUCACCGUCCUGAGCCCUGGGUUUCCCCCUCGGCGAUAAAAAUUCUUUUUUUCCUCUCUUUUCUUUUUUUGCUUGUUUAUAUAAACAUCUCACUGCUAGGCAUGAUCUAUAGAACCACAGUAUGUGAGCAUCACUCUGAGCUCUAGUUAAUCCAGUAUGGAUGGUUACAGUGUUUCCCUCCAGCUCCUGCAGUCUGACAACCUCUUCUCCAGCUGUGAGCACCAGACCUGAGACACAAGAGGCCCGGGGGGGUGGCCCGGGUUAUUUCCCCCCCUUCUCGGGUAUCGCCCUCCGGCCUUCCUCCGCUGCCAGUGCACCUCCAGGCUCCAUCCAGGACAUCCUUGGAAGGUGACUUCAACUGACAACGGCAACUGUGACGUGGAGUUCCUGAUCGGGAUUUGAACCGAUAACCCCCCCACCACGGGGCAUGGCAUCUACCAGCGAGCCACAGGAUCUCACAAGGCUUUCUUAUUUUUUUUCGACAUUUAUCUCUCAGAUUUCCAACUUGCUGUGUGAAAAGCAGUAGCUUGAGCAAGAUUUGAACCCACAACCUUUUGAGUGCAACUACAUUGCUUUUCUUAGUGAGCCACCGUGGCUCAGGUCCAGCACCUUUUUUUUUGGACAUUUGAUUGAUGAUAAUAAGGAUGCCUGAACAUGAGUUUAAUAGUGAAGAUAUGUGCAUAAGCUACUAUGGCUUGUUUACAGUGAUCUUUUUUGUUUGGAUAUUUGACUUUGAGAUUCCCAGGCUUUCUACUGUUUCUACUGAUGCUUCUAAGACUCUUAGACCAGGAUCAUUAGAGGAAGAGGAAGACUGACUGUUCAGACCUGAAUAAACGGCAGUCUAAAUAAUACAGUC
Pygocentrus nattereri (red-bellied piranha) is the source of this 1181-nucleotide long non-coding RNA. RefSeq lists it as uncharacterized. The transcript has 6 exons. Lineage: Eukaryota; Metazoa; Chordata; Actinopteri; Characiformes; Serrasalmidae. The record is from RefSeq and is a predicted model, not a curated record.